Long non-coding RNA from Homo sapiens (human), 1698 nucleotides. RefSeq lists it as uncharacterized. Lineage: Eukaryota; Metazoa; Chordata; Mammalia; Primates; Hominidae. The record is from RefSeq and is a predicted model, not a curated record. The transcript is spliced from 2 exons.
GCUGUCGAUGACGCUGAUGCUCUUCAGGACCUGAUUGGGGAGCUGUGAGCACAUGAAUCUGGAAGAGACGGAUCAAAGGAGGGGUCAGAAACUGGGCAUCACAGAGUGCUCCAACCAUGGGGCUUCUUGGCCUCUCUGGGCUUACUGACAUCUGUAAAGUGGGGGCCUGAAGGAGACUGACAGAAACUGAGGAUGCCUAAUGAAGUUGUUUGUGAAGUAGGAGCUUGGAGGAGAUUGAUAGCACCUCCAUCCAGCCACAGAGAACAGAUGCUGGCCCAUGGGACAGGUGGGAAAACUGGGGCAUCAGAGAGGCCAAGCGGCUUGCCCAAGGUCACACAGCGGAUGUUCGAGUGGAAAUGGAAUGCAAGCAUUCAGACUCCAGAACUUGCACUGUCUUCAGAAAUGGCCUCAAGUUAGUGGUUUGCUCAGGGGUGAAGAGCAAAGCAAAGUUCAGGGCCUCAUCCCAGGGUGUGUCACUUGGCAUGAGGGACGAGGACCCCCAUUUCCUCUCAGCUGAGGGGAAGAGCUCUCCACAAUGUCCCCCUGCACGGUCCUCUGGCUACCCUGACAACAAGGGCCAGCUCUCCCUACUCUCCCUGGAGUAAAGCUGGGCUCAGGAGGUGCUACCGUUUCAAAAUGUGUUCAGCUUUAAUUUUUAAAAUAUCUUCAAGAGUUUCUCCAUCAAAACCUCUGUAUCCCUAAUAGCCUAGAAAUGUUCGUGUUGAUCAAUUCUUACACAUUCCACACAAAUCUGAGAAAUGCUGGUAAAAGUUACUGUGAGGGAUGCCCACUCUGUGAAACUCCAGCCUCUAUGGAGUGGAUGCAGAGCGUGUGGACUCCAUAUACCCAUGGGAAUGUGGAAUUUAGGUUUUACAGCCCCUCUGGGAUCUCAAGGGUGAAGACAUUCAGCAGCGAGGCUGGAAUUCAAAGCCAGAUCACACUCUUGCCUCCACUCACGUCCAGUUUGAUUUUUACGCCCUGUGGCCUGGAUGGGGCUAUGUCUGGAGGCUGGUAUGACUGAGGGAGGAGAGACUGCUGGGGAGGGAGGGGCUUGGGAGAACAGCAGCCAGUGUCGCCCAGCUCCCCGCAGCACACACAGUUCGCAAUUCACGAAAAUGUGAGGUGCGGGAGUGGGUUUGAAGCUUGACAGGCACUUUGCUCCAGAAUCAGUGCUAAUAGCAACGGUGGGCUGGCCAAGACGGCCUACAAAAGGUCACACACACUGAUUAAAGGGAUGAACCAGACGAGAACUGCAGCGUGUGCUUUUUGGGGAAGAGCUCGGUGUGGAGCUCCACCUUGGGUGGCUCGCGGCAACACGGCCCCUUCUCGGCACCUUCACCAAGCCUGGCCAGGAGGAGGCCCUUCAGAUUCCGGGCCAGGGAGGUGAGCAUACGGAUAUCGUAGUUAAGCAGUGAGUCCCCCAGCUGGACAAUCACUCACACAGCACAGGUGUUGAAGUCAGACAUCACUGUCGAGGAGUGCCUGAAUUACUUUCUGAUGUUUCAUUCCUGUACAAGUACAGCAAAUCCCACUACUUUUGAAAUAACAGGGGUUUCAAGGAAAAAUAUAAAUGAAAAAAUUGUUUAAAGAAGAGCAGAUGUUUCCUACAUUCAAGUUUAUAUUGCAAUCGAAGCCAGAGUUUUCUAAGUAGCGACCCUACUGGACAGACCUUUAACAAUAAAUCAUUUUUAAAGUGUG